UCAAAAUCUCUGGAAGGUUCCUCGAAACCCUAAUCCUCUUCACCACUUUCAAUCAUCAUCUCACUGGAAUCCAUGGUUACUCAGGCCAUGGAUGGACUAUACUCACCUCCCUCCACCCUUAAACGCUUGGUGCUCGAAGUUUCGAGGCCUGACCUCGAUGGUGUCCAUUCAGAUUUUCUCCGAUUCAAGGUUCCAUAUGGCCUCUCCGGCCUUUCUCCGGUGUAUCCAAAGCAUCUCGAGCCUGGUUCUGACUCAUCCGAUUCAAGAUCAGACCUUUUUCCAAGCCUUUCUCAUUUUAGGGUUCCUCUGAAACCCUAAAUAGUUGAGGUUUUCUCAGAUUGUUUUCUUAAAUCUUCUUUAUAUUUGUGCUCUACUAGAAUUUUAAAAUGUUUUCCCUAAUUUUUCUUUCAAAAAUUACUUCUCUUCGAUUUACGAUUUUCGAAAGUCUCAAGAUGUUUCUCUGACUCUUCUUCUUCUUUUCUUUGUGGGUAUCCAUCUAUGCUAUGUUCUUAUGUUUUCUCUUCUACCUUGCAUGAUCUUCUACUGUGUUCUUAUGUUUGCAUAUUCUUCUACUAUGUCUCUAUAUCAUGCUAUCACAUGUUUAUCUUGCUAUGUUUCCUUGUGUGUUCUUUUGCUAGGCUUCUUACAUCUCUAUGUUCCUGUAUGUAUUUCCUACUAAGUUUUCAAGUUAUUUGUUUGCCUUUCACUGGACCUUUGGUUGAGUUCUUCUUAAACAUGUUUCCUCUACUAUUUUCUUAAGUGUUAUACUACUUCUUUUUCUCUUCUAAAUUCCUACAUCUCUCUGUUCCUGUAUGUAUUUCCUACUAAGUUUUAAAAUCUUUGUUUGCCUUUCAUUGGACCUUUGUUUUAGUUAUUUUUAAAUAUGUUUCCUCUACUAUUUUCUCAAGUG
Molecule: long non-coding RNA, 910 nt
Filed under: Nicotiana benthamiana
Lineage: Eukaryota; Viridiplantae; Streptophyta; Magnoliopsida; Solanales; Solanaceae
Description: long non-coding RNA (NBEN_LNC032309)
Source: RNAcentral